UGGAGCAACGCCGCGUGAGCGAUGAAGGCCUUCGGGUCGUAAAGCUCUGUUGUUAGGGAAGAACAAGUGCGAGAGUAACUGCUCGCACCUUGACGGUACCUAACCAGAAAGCCACGGCUAACUACGUGCCAGCAGCCGCGGUAAAACGUAGGAGGCAAGCGUUAUCCGGAUUCACUGGGCGUAAAGCGCGUGCAGGCGGUUCGGUAAGUUGGGCGUGAAAUCUCCUGGCUUAACUAGGAGAGGUCGUCCAAUACUACCGGGCUCGAGAGUGGUAGAGGAAGAUGGAAUUCCCGGUGUAGUGGUGAAAUGCGUAGAUAUCGGGAGGAACACCAGUGGCGAAAGCGAUCUUCUGGACCAUUUCUGACGCUCAGACGCGAAAGCUAGGGUAGUAAACGGGAUUAGAGACCCCGGUAAUCCUAGCCGUAAACGAUGUAGACUUGGCGUCGGUGGCUUAAACACCAUCGGUGCCGCAGCAAACGCGAUAAGUCUACCGCCUGGGGACUACGAUCGCAAGAUUA
RNAcentral lists this ribosomal RNA (518 nucleotides) under uncultured Chloroflexota bacterium. RNAcentral describes it as "bacterial SSU rRNA". It matches the Rfam family "Bacterial small subunit ribosomal RNA", at positions 387 to 896 of the family's 1533-position model. Lineage: Bacteria; Bacillati; Chloroflexota. The record is from RNAcentral.